GACGAACGCUGGCGGCGUGCUUAACACAUGCAAGUCGAACGAAGAGCGACGGAAGCUUGCUUCUAUCAAUCUUAGUGGCGAACGGGUGAGUAACGCGUAAUCAACCUGCCCUUCAGAGGGGGACAACAGUUGGAAACGACUGCUAAUACCGCAUACGAUCUAACCUCGGCAUCGAGGAUAGAUGAAAGGUGGCGUCUACAUGUAAGCUAUCACUGAAGGAGGGGAUUGCGUCUGCUUAGCAGGUUGGAGGGGUAACGGCCCACCAAGGCGAUGAUCAGUGGCCGGGCUGGGAGGAUGGACGGCCACAUUGGGACUGAGGCACGGCCCAGACUCCUACGGGAGGCAGCAGUGGGGAAUCUUUCGCAAUGGAGGAAAGUCUGACGGAGCACCGCCGCGUGAGUGAUGACGGCCUUCGGGUUGUAAAGCUCUGUUAAUCGGGAAGAAAGGCCUUCUUGCGAAUAGUGAGAAGGAUUGACGGUACCGGAAUAGAAAGCCACGGCUAACUACGUG
This 510-nucleotide ribosomal RNA is filed under the name uncultured bacterium. RNAcentral's name for it is "partial 16S ribosomal RNA". It matches the Rfam family "Bacterial small subunit ribosomal RNA", at positions 28 to 507 of the family's 1533-position model. The record is from RNAcentral.